Molecule: transfer RNA, 75 nt
Filed under: Candidatus Avisuccinivibrio pullicola
Lineage: Bacteria; Pseudomonadati; Pseudomonadota; Gammaproteobacteria; Aeromonadales; Succinivibrionaceae
Description: tRNA-Gln
Rfam family: tRNA
About the family: Transfer RNA (tRNA) molecules are approximately 80 nucleotides in length. Their secondary structure includes four short double-helical elements and three loops (D, anti-codon, and T loops).
Source: RNAcentral
AGGGGUAUAGCCAAGUGGUAAGGCAACGGGUUUUGAUCCCGUCAUACCCUGGUUCGAUCCCAGGUACCCCUGCCA